Molecule: ribosomal RNA, 484 nt
Filed under: uncultured bacterium
Lineage: Bacteria
Description: partial 16S ribosomal RNA
Rfam family: Bacterial small subunit ribosomal RNA
Source: RNAcentral
AUUGAACGCUGGCGGCAGGCCUAACACAUGCAGGUCGAGCGGAUGAAGGGAGCUUGCUCCUGGAUUCAGCGGCGGACGGGUGAGUAAUGCCUAGGAAUCUGCCUGGUAGUGGGGGAUAACGUCCGGAAACGGGCGCUAAUACCGCAUACGUCCUGAUGGAGAAAGUGGGGGAUCUUCGGACCUCACGCUAUCAGAUGAGCCUAGGUCGGAUUAGCUAGUUGGUGGGGUAAAGGCCUACCAAGGCGACGAUCCGUAACUGGUCUGAGAGGAUGAUCAGUCACACUGGAACUGAGACACGGUCCAGACUCCUACGGGAGGCAGCAGUGGGGAAUAUUGGACAAUGGGCGAAAGCCUGAUGCAGCCAUGCCGCGUGUGUGAAGAAGGUCUUCGGAUCGUAAAGCACUUUAAGUUGGGAGGAAGGGCAGUAAGUUAAUACCUGGCUGUUUUGACGUUACCUAAAGAAUAAGCACCGGCUAACUACGUG